Molecule: long non-coding RNA, 1286 nt
Organism: Monodelphis domestica (gray short-tailed opossum)
Lineage: Eukaryota; Metazoa; Chordata; Mammalia; Didelphimorphia; Didelphidae
Source: RefSeq, a predicted model, not a curated record
AGAAAAUACCUUAUCUGGAUCUCGAGGUCUUCCAAAAUCAGUAACAAAACUAUUCAUUCGAAAAUGCUUUUCAGAAGGUUCUGCAUUUCUAAAAAAGGGAAAGAAAGAACACAAGUAUGUACAUUAAACAUCAUUUACUUGCAAAAUAAAUUACAUUCACAUCACACUGUGUUGGCCAGGUCAUUGUUAGAUUGUAAAAUCUUUGCAAGCAAGCCUGGAUGGUCUCACUCUCAGCAUUUGUAUCUCUUAUUUGUAUCUCCAGUGCCUAAUACCAUAACUGUCAUUUAUACUGCAAAGAUCUUAAAUGUACCAUUUUUACAAGUUCUCUCCUUCCCUUGGAGUCUCGUUAUUAUUUAAAUUUUUUAAAUUAAAAAAAAAAAAACUUUAACCUUCCAUUUUCGAGUCAAUACUAUUUAUUGGUUCUGUCAGGCUAAUUAUUGACAAAGUAAGAUGCUCAAAGUUCUGCCCACCACCUAUCACAGUACCAAAUAAAUCCAAUAAAUUUACAUUCUAGAAAUACUUAUUAAACACUUGUUAUGUGCAAAACCCCUUUACUUGAUGGGUACCAAGAGCAAUAAAUUAAAAAAAAACAAAACACUAUGCCCUUUCAAUUAAUGUGUAAACUAAUAAAGGAUGACUGAAUAACCAAAUCUGACAAGGAUGUAAGAAAGUGACAAAGUGCAAUGAAAUUUCCAGAGAUAUAGAGGUCACUCCUGAUGCCAAUUGGGAGUAGGAAAGAAAAUCAGAGAAAGUUUCAUGGAAGAGGGGGCAUUUGAGCUUGAAGGUAAGAGUGAAGAAGUACUUCUUCCGGAAGUGUCACUUUCUCCAUUCAUUGAAGCGUUCUUCCCUUCUCUCAGGGAUGUGCUGUAAGGUUCAAGGAGUUGCCCUUGGACAUAAGCGUUGGGUGAAUCAGCUCUAAAAAUAUAAAGAACAUCCUUUUGGAGACGUGCCAGCAGGUUCUGGCCCAAGAUCUUCAGAAGCAGUUUUCAGAUACCUAGGACUACCACUACCUCUGACUGAUCAUGUACCUGCCUUUGACUUGUGUGGGAGCAGAGGGGGAAAUUGACUCCUUAGCAAAAACAGUUAUACAAAACCAACUGGAUCUUGGCAGGCUGCAUCAGGAGAAGAAGGGACUGCUAAUGAGCCACUGAAUAGUGCAAAGAAGCACAAGGUCAAGGAGACCACCAAUCUCUGUGGAGUUGUAAUAUCCAUUUUAGCCUGCCAGAGAUGACUGCUCCCUCUGCAUUCUCUGGAUCACCUGAGGUAUAAUAAAUUCUGUUCCAGCC